GACGAACGCUGGCGGCGUGCUUAACACAUGCAAGUCGAACGGUGAAGGGGCCUGCUUUUGUGGGCCCUGGAUGAGUGGCGAACGGGUGAGUAACACGUGAGUAACCUGCCCCCUUCUUCUGGAUAACCGCAUGAAAGUGUGGCUAAUACGGGAUAUUCUGGGUCUGUCGCAUGAUGGGUCUGGGAAAGAUUGCGCCUUUGGGUGUUUUUGGUGGGGGAUGGGCUCGCGGCCUAUCAGCUUGUUGGUGGGGUGAUGGCCUAGCAAGGCGGUGACGGGUAGCCGGCCUGAGAGGGUGGACGGUCACACUGGGACUGAGACACGGCCCAGACGCCUACGGGAGGCAGCAGUGGGGAAUAUUGCACAAUGGGCGCAAGCCUGAUGCAGCGACGCCGCGUGAGGGAUGGAGGCCUUCGGGUUGUAAACCUCUUUCGCCAGUGAAGCAGGCCUGCUCCUUGUGGGUGGGUUGACGGUAGCUGGAUAAGAAGCGCCGGCUAACUACGUG
RNAcentral lists this ribosomal RNA (502 nucleotides) under uncultured bacterium. RNAcentral's name for it is "partial 16S ribosomal RNA". It matches the Rfam family "Bacterial small subunit ribosomal RNA", at positions 28 to 507 of the family's 1533-position model. The record is from RNAcentral.